UGUGAGUGGAGGCCUAACUCAGAAUUUACUGGCUGUGCAACCCCGGGUAGUUCCUUGUGUUCUCUGUUUUAUAUUUCACAUGGAGAAAGAACAGUGCUCUGACUUAGGCAGAGCCAGCACUCCGAGAAUCCUCACUUACAGAGGAGGAAGCUGAGGUCCAAGAUGGAUUCUCUCUAUCUGUGAUUCCACAGCCCAAUCGUCCAGAAGCAGAACAACCUCAACUCCAAAGCCAAGGCCCUACAGGAAGCCAGAAAGAGCUCAUGGAGUGCAAGUGACUUUCCCAACAUUAUGGAGAGAGGAGGUGCUGUUACUGGUACCCUCCUAUGCCUGGUCCAAGCAUGUCCAUACGAGUAUUUCAUUACCAUUCUAAAAGUGUUAUCAGACGUUGUUGCCUCCUUCUUCACCAACCUAUCAUCGAUCAGCCUAAUAAAUGGAGCAGAGCAUGAAGAAGGCAUAAACAACAGGGCCCAUAGGAUUUGAGUGAUUCACUGGAGGCUGUGAGCCAGCAAGUGGCAGAGUGACGUUCGGUCUAGUUCUCCGGAGUGCAGCUUCCUGGUCCCUGCUC
RNAcentral lists this long non-coding RNA (565 nucleotides) under Mus pahari (shrew mouse). RNAcentral's name for it is "lncRNA (MGP_PahariEiJ_G0003745.1)". The record is from RNAcentral. Lineage: Eukaryota; Metazoa; Chordata; Mammalia; Rodentia; Muridae.